This 72-nucleotide transfer RNA is filed under the name Coemansia erecta. RNAcentral describes it as "tRNA-Pro". It matches the Rfam family "tRNA". Rfam says of the family: Transfer RNA (tRNA) molecules are approximately 80 nucleotides in length. Their secondary structure includes four short double-helical elements and three loops (D, anti-codon, and T loops). Lineage: Eukaryota; Fungi; Kickxellomycota; Kickxellomycetes; Kickxellales; Kickxellaceae. The record is from RNAcentral. RNAcentral also lists the same sequence under 1 other name.
GGCCCAGUGGUCUAGACGUAUGAUUCUUCGUUUGGGUCGAAGAGGUCCCGGGUUCAAUUCCCGGCUGGGCCC